This 73-nucleotide non-coding RNA is filed under the name Pseudomonadota bacterium. The record is from RNAcentral. Lineage: Bacteria; Pseudomonadati; Pseudomonadota.
AAGCGAAACCAGCUACCGGGAACGGUGGUUGGUCUGCCCGGCAUGGUGGCCGGGCACUGAUGAGCAGCCAAUU